UCUUUAUCUCUCUUGUUUUUUUUGUCUGCUCUCUCUCUCUCUCUCUCUCUCUCUCUCUCUGAUCAGUUAAGCCCGAACCCAAACAACCAUCCAAAUUGAAGUGCAUAUAUAGAGAAUAGCAAGGACUAAAUUACAUAAAAAAUCUUUCAGCUAUGUGUAUUUUGAUGUUUGGUAAAGAUAACUAGGCAAAGGACUAGCCCUCAACAAUUUUAAUGGUAACUCUGUCAACCACUUCCCAUUUCUUUCAUAGUAAGUAACACCUGAGAACUCCAACGGUUGAUGUCGCCCAUCAAAAUUUCCCACAACCCUUCAUCGCCGAUCUUAUUUGAUUCAAUAUAUAUAGGGUGUAUAUAUAUAUUGUAUAAAAAGUGAAUAUGAAAAUGUACUGAUAAAAACGUCUAUAAUGUGUAUAUAUAUUGUAUGAAAUGUACAUUAAUAAAAAUGUAUAUAAUAUAUGUAUAUAUAAUGUGUAUCAUAUUAUGUAUACAUAAAAUCUAUUAUAUACAUUUUUAUCAAUAUACUUACAAUUAAUACACACUUCAUAUUAACUUUACUUACAUAUAUAAUCUACAACUUUAUACUGUUAGUUUCCAAUUUAUACAAGCACCUAAUUGAGAAUCUCAUUGCACUUCUCUUUUGUUGAAGCUUCAAGCGUUCAUCAACCACACUUAAAAUGAGACAAAGCCAAAGCCAAAUGAAAGAACAUAGCCAAAAAAGACUGAAAGUCUUUUGUGUUAGAUUUCACUGGAAGAUUUUUAUAUCUUUCAAUCUGAAAUCCAGAUUCCUUCCUUCCUUUCUUCUCCAUCAAUAAACUUGUAUUUUCUAUAUAUCAUGAAACUAAGCUUUAGAACACACAAUGUUCAUUUGUGUUAGGUGCAGAACAAAAUAAAUUGUUAAAGAGCAAGAGAGAUAAAAGGUGAGACAGGGAGAGAUGCAACAGAGAGAGAGAUUACAGAGAAAAGAGAGAAGAGAAGACAAUACAGGAAGCGUGAGUAGUCAUCCAGUGAGUGAGGGGGGAGAAAUAGGGGAGAAAAAUAGGGUAGUCCGGUGCACUAAAACUCUUGUUAUAUACAUGGUUUGGGGAAUGGCCCCACACAAGGGUGUAUAGUAUGCAACCUUACCUUGCAUUUCCGUCAGAGGUUGAUUCCAAGGCUUAAACCCGUGAUCUCCUGGUCACAUGGCAACAACUUUACAAGUUACUCCAAGGCUCCCCUUC
This 1216-nucleotide long non-coding RNA is filed under the name Capsicum annuum. Its description in RNAcentral is "long non-coding RNA (CANN_LNC010313)". The record is from RNAcentral. Lineage: Eukaryota; Viridiplantae; Streptophyta; Magnoliopsida; Solanales; Solanaceae.